CUUGGAGUUCUAAAUGUGAAUUUGAUGGAUUUAUGAGUAACUUGGAAGCCGGAGCCAACUUUGUGAUUGCAGACCACAAGGGCCACUAUUUCCACUCUAUUAGGAAGUGGUUACACUCUAAGUUUGUUAAUUGUCCUGAUCUACAAAAGUUUAUCUUUUCAAUGGCAACUUUUUUAUGGCAUCUAGCUAGAGUUGUCACUAAUAUUAUGCUUU
This 213-nucleotide long non-coding RNA is filed under the name Elaeis guineensis (African oil palm). RNAcentral's name for it is "long non-coding RNA (EGUI_LNC045322)". The record is from RNAcentral. Lineage: Eukaryota; Viridiplantae; Streptophyta; Magnoliopsida; Arecales; Arecaceae.